This 92-nucleotide transfer RNA is filed under the name Candidatus Omnitrophota bacterium. RNAcentral describes it as "tRNA-Ser". It matches the Rfam family "tRNA". Rfam says of the family: Transfer RNA (tRNA) molecules are approximately 80 nucleotides in length. Their secondary structure includes four short double-helical elements and three loops (D, anti-codon, and T loops). The record is from RNAcentral. Lineage: Bacteria; Pseudomonadati; Candidatus Omnitrophota.
GGAGAGGUGGCUGAGUGGCCGAUAGCAACCGCCUGCUAAGCGGUUGGCCUGGGAAACCGGGCCCCUGGGUUCGAAUCCCAGCCUCUCCGCCA